UUGUCAAAACCCACAGAACUGUUCAUUUGCCAUGGACAUGACCACAAAACAUUUUACCGCUAGGUUUUCUUUCUGCUACCUUGCUAGCAUUCAGCCUAUUGGGAACAUUU
This is a small nucleolar RNA of Pteronotus mesoamericanus, 110 nucleotides long. RefSeq annotates it as small nucleolar RNA SNORA32. The record is from RefSeq and is a predicted model, not a curated record. Lineage: Eukaryota; Metazoa; Chordata; Mammalia; Chiroptera; Mormoopidae. The transcript has a single exon.